RNAcentral lists this ribosomal RNA (384 nucleotides) under uncultured bacterium. Its description in RNAcentral is "bacterial SSU rRNA". It matches the Rfam family "Bacterial small subunit ribosomal RNA", at positions 28 to 416 of the family's 1533-position model. The record is from RNAcentral.
GACGAACGCUGGCGGCGUGCUUAACACAUGCAAGUCGAGCGGUAAGGCCCUUUCGGGGUACACGAGCGGCGAACGGGUGAGUAACACGUGGGUGACCUGCCCUUAGCUCUGGGAUAAGCCUGGGAAACUGGGUCUAAUACCGGAUAUGACUCCAUGACGCAUGUUGUGGGGUGGAAAGCCUUGUGCGGCUAGGGAUGGGCCCGCGGCCUAUCAGCUUGUUGGUGGGGUGAUGGCCACCAAGGCGACGACGGUAGCCGGCCUGAGAGGGCGACCGGCCACACUGGGACUGAGACACGGCCCAGACUCCUACGGGAGGCAGCAGUGGGGAAUCUUGCGCAAUGGGCGAAAGCCUGACGCAGCGACGCCGCGUGAGGGAUGACGGCC